RNAcentral lists this ribosomal RNA (253 nucleotides) under uncultured bacterium. RNAcentral's name for it is "partial 16S ribosomal RNA". It matches the Rfam family "Bacterial small subunit ribosomal RNA", at positions 524 to 776 of the family's 1533-position model. The record is from RNAcentral.
UACGAAGGGUGCUAGCGUUGUUCGGAAUUACUGGGCGUAAAGCGCGCGUAGGCGGCUUAUCAAGUCAGGGGUGAAAUCCUUGGGCUCAACCCAAGAAUUGCCUUUGAAACUGUUAAGCUUGAGUACUGGAGGGGAUAGCGGAAUUCCUAAUGUAGAGGUGAAAUUCGUAGAUAUUAGGAGGAACACCGGUGGCGAAGGCGGCUAUCUGGACAGUAACUGACGCUGAGGCGCGAAAGCGUGGGGAGCAAACAGG